This 1797-nucleotide small RNA is filed under the name Vigna angularis var. angularis. RNAcentral's name for it is "Non-protein coding transcript". Lineage: Eukaryota; Viridiplantae; Streptophyta; Magnoliopsida; Fabales; Fabaceae. The record is from RNAcentral.
AGUCACACAAUGAAUGGAGAAAAGCUGUUGAAGUCUCAGAUAUGUGAUAGUAACAGAAGAUAAGUGUAGUGUAGUUUUCAGUCACAAGAUGGAAGUUACUCUCUUUUUCAUUUUUUUGGAUACAGGAAGAAUGUGUUCUACACAAGACCUACACAUACAUUACAUUAGAAAGAAUGAAAUGAAUCAAAGAAUGAAUUGAUUUUGUACAUCUACAGCUGAUUUCUAUGGCUAGAUCUCAACUAAACCCACUGCAAACUCAGCUAAACUUUCAAACUAUAGCCAAUUUGAAGACAGAAACAAACUCAAGGGAGAAAUUGCAACCUUGAAAAUCAGGUUUCUCUCUUCAUGGCUAUGAUGUCUCAGUUUCUCUUCCACUAACAGCUUCUGAGUGCUUCUGUUUUACCACUUAGUGGAUUCCAAAAGCGAUUAUCUGCCACAUCCGUGUUUGGAAAAUCGUUGAGAAGUAAGAAACCACCUUGGAGAUGCAAAAGUUAUAACCUACUACUUCCUCUCUAGGCGUGAAAAAUCACAUCUGAAACGUUAAACCAAACACCCCAUACAUAAUUUACAGCCUACUCAUAUCCACAUCCUUUUGCAGCUGAUUUUGCCUCAUUACCAACACAUCCAAAGCCUCUUUCAUCCAAGGAUAAGGACAUAUUUCUUUUGCCUCAGCCACAGUCAUCUGCAUGAUGCAUAUCAGUUAAACAUUAGAACACUAACAAAAUCAAAGUUAAAUGACUAAGAUAUAUUGCUCUUGAGAAAGUGAAUUUGACAACUGAAAAAUAGGUUAAACACUUACCCAUCUGCGUUUUCUUGUGUUCAUCUCUGGCCAAUUAUCCAAUUCCUUCUUAACAAGCAAAGGGAACAUGUAUCCCUCAUGCAUUAUGGGUUGCCGUUUGCUCUUGUAAUACCAUUUACCCAAAUUAUUCUGCAAGAGAACAAACAAACACCACACAUAAGGUAAGAUUCAAAGACACUAUUAUUUAAGGGCUGAAGAAAAACUCAAUCUAAAAAGUACUUGCUCACACACACUUACCUCAACACUGCCAAUAACCCCAGCUUCUUCUAUAGUCUCUCUUAGAGCAGCUUGUUCCAUGGAUUCAUCAAUUUCCCAACCUCCCUGAGACCAAAUAACACUCUAACAUCAGUAACAAGAUCAAAAAGGGUUGAAAUGAACCAAAGUUAAGCUUCAAAACAAUACAAGAUGUGGAGGAAAAAUCAAUACCUUUGGGAACUGCAUUCCAUGGCCUUUCUGAGCACUAAUCACAAGAACCUCUAACUCCUUAUCUUUUGUUCCAUUGUUCUUGUAUCUAUAAGGAAUGCACCUGUUCAUUUCCAAAAACACCCCACAGAACAAGUCAGCUUAACAACUCAAUAUACACACAGAAAAGGACAAAUUUAACUUCAAACCCACCAAACCAAAAAAAAUUAUUAUUUACAAAAAAUGUAUUUUUUUUCUGCCACCGGCCAUCAAUGAUUAAAUCAAAGACACGCUUUAAACCCUCUUCCAAAACAAAAAACAAAAAGCCCCCAAUUGAGAAAAAAAUUGAAAAUUUCAAAGCGUGUCCACCAUCUUCGACUCUGGGAUGCUGUUCUUGAAACACUCGUUUCAAAUAUAACUUUACAAAUUCAACAAGUUUAAAUUAAAACCAGUCCCUGGAAAGUGUAAAAUUACUAUGGGAGAAACAUUUAGUGAGAGAAAGAAAGAAACUAAGAAACCCCUAAAAAUCAGAACUUGAUGAAACCCCAGAAGAAGAAACAGGAAGAAAAAGGCAUGGGAAGGAACAAGAACACACC